RNAcentral lists this long non-coding RNA (236 nucleotides) under Gallus gallus (chicken). Lineage: Eukaryota; Metazoa; Chordata; Aves; Galliformes; Phasianidae. The record is from RNAcentral.
CUUGGCACAACCUUUGGGACUGCCAUUGGGAUUGCCAUUGGGACAGCCAUGGGACAGCCUUUGGGACUGCCUCUGGGAUAGCCAUGGGACUGCCAUGGGGACUGAUGUGGGGGCAGCCUUCGGGACUGCCAUUUGGGAUAGCCACGGGACAGCGAUGGGACAGCCUUUGGGACCACCAUGGAACAGCCUUCGGGACAGCCUUUGGGACAGCCUUGGGAUGAAAGCGGAGUGCUGGG